This 1341-nucleotide long non-coding RNA is filed under the name Oreochromis niloticus (Nile tilapia). RNAcentral describes it as "lncRNA (ENSONIG00000025250.2)". The record is from RNAcentral. Lineage: Eukaryota; Metazoa; Chordata; Actinopteri; Cichliformes; Cichlidae.
GUGCUUUGAGCGGAGGCUUUUGAACCGAGCUAGAGAACUGUUGUCACGGCAUGGAUGCGUUUGACGAUGCCAUACUGUCUGUGUUGCAGGCUGCGAAUAUUGACUAUGAAGCUUUGAGAAGCUUUACCCGGGAUGACCUGAAGGAUCUCUUUCCAGGCCAUGAAAUUUCUUCCGGAGAAAGAAGCUUUGGAAUUUCAUAAUCCAACAGGUAAACAGACAUUAUACAAAUAAGAAUAUUAUAAUUAAUGCUAGAAUAUAUCAUUGUCUAGCAAUAAUUUGCCUAAUUGUGGAUUUUUAUUUUUUUUUUAUAUCCCGCAACUGUUAUUGCUUAAGACUGCUGAACAAAAUGCCAACACUUGCCAUCGAAGCGAGAGUAACCCCUUAGGCUUUGUUGUGUCUGAAUGUCAGCCACAAACUUCCAGUCCCAUUUCCUACACUGCUCACAAAACAAUGAAAAUGCCAGACCCACCAGAGUAUGUGUUGUAUACAGAUUCAGAACUGGACAUGGUGCGCAGUCAGUACUUUGCAUUGCUUCACAGUGGAAAGGAAAAGGACUGUAAGAUGUCGAAGGAGCUCUGUUGCAGACUUAUAAGGAACACAGUCACCAGCAUGGUUGCAAUCCUUCGUGCUAGUCCCAUGGGGAAAGAAGUAGGAUACCCCUCCAAACUUGAAAUGAGAGCAAUGUCACAGAAGAUUGUCGACUAUUACCCUAUGUUAUGUGAUGCUGACACACACAUGCCAUAUGUGACCAUCUACACCAAACUGUACAAACGACUCCAAAAUAUGAAGUCUCCAAGGAGGAAACAGGGUUCCAUGCUGCAGCGAGGCAGGCCCAGGAAGAUUAUUUUCAGCUCAGACAACUUAGACAAUGAAACUGAAGGUGACUUAAGUGGCGAAGCAAGUGGUUCAAGUGACUAUACCAUACUUGACCUCAGCAAGGACAACUCAAAUGCAGAGAAAGCAUCAAAAUUCCAUCUACACUCUACUGUACCAACACAGUCAAACAAUAAUACCCUGGCUUCACCACUAUUAUCUAAGUCAGCCUCAUGCUCUGCACCCAGGGCUGCCAUAGGUCCACCAACUCCAGAUGACGAUGUUGCAGACCAUGACAGCCUGAAGAUGCAGCCAAGACAUUACAAAACCUUGAGCAACAUGUACAGGAAACCAAAUGCAAAACCCAACCAAAGUGACGUUGCUCAAAUUUUGGACCUGGAGUUUGAGGCCAGACGAGCUUUUAUUGAUGCAGAUGUUACAAGGGAAGAAGACAGGCCCACAAAAAUAUUUGAAGCAUACCCGUGCUUCAAAGAUAUUCGAAAUGUAAGCCUAGCUACCUUCAAUUAA